AGAGUUUGAUCCUGGCUCAGAUUGAACGCUGGCGGCAGGCCUAACACAUGCAAGUCGAGCGGUAGCACAGAGAGCUUGCUCUCGGGUGACGAGCGGCGGACGGGUGAGUAAUGUCUGGGAAACUGCCUGAUGGAGGGGGAUAACUACUGGAAACGGUAGCUAAUACCGCAUAACGUCGCAAGACCAAAGUGGGGGACCUUCGGGCCUCAUGCCAUCAGAUGUGCCCAGAUGGGAUUAGCUAGUAGGUGGGGUAACGGCUCACCUAGGCGACGAUCCCUAGCUGGUCUGAGAGGAUGACCAGCCACACUGGAACUGAGACACGGUCCAGACUCCUACGGGAGGCAGCAGUGGGGAAUAUUGCACAAUGGGCGCAAGCCUGAUGCAGCCAUGCCGCGUGUGUGAAGAAGGCCUUCGGGUUGUAAAGCACUUUCAGCGGGGAGGAAGGCGUUAAGGUUAAUAACCUUGGCGAUUGACGUUACCCGCAGAAGAAGCACCGGCUAACUCCGUGCCAGCAGCCGCGGUAAUACGGAGGGUGCAAGCGUUAAUCGGAAUUACUGGGCGUAAAGCGCACGCAGGCGGUCUGUCAAGUCGGAUGUGAAAUCCCCGGGCUCAACCUGGGAACUGCAUUCGAAACUGGCAGGCUAGAGUCUUGUAGAGGGGGGUAGAAUUCCAGGUGUAGCGGUGAAAUGCGUAGAGAUCUGGAGGAAUACCGGUGGCGAAGGCGGCCCCCUGGACAAAGACUGACGCUCAGGUGCGAAAGCGUGGGGAGCAAACAGGAUUAGAUACCCUGGUAGUCCACGCCGUAAACGAUGUCGACUUGGAGGUUGUGCCCUUGAGGCGUGGCUUCCGGAGCUAACGCGUUAAAUCGACCGCCUGGGGAGUACGGCCGCAAGGUUAAAACUCAAAUGAAUUGACGGGGGCCCGCACAAGCGGUGGAGCAUGUGGUUUAAUUCGAUGCAACGCGAAGAACCUUACCUGGUCUUGACAUCCACAGAACUUUCCAGAGAUGGAUUGGUGCCUUCGGGAACUGUGAGACAGGUGCUGCAUGGCUGUCGUCAGCUCGUGUUGUGAAAUGUUGGGUUAAGUCCCGCAACGAGCGCAACCCUUAUCCUUUGUUGCCAGCGGUUCGGCCGGGAACUCAAAGGAGACUGCCAGUGAUAAACUGGAGGAAGGUGGGGAUGACGUCAAGUCAUCAUGGCCCUUACGACCAGGGCUACACACGUGCUACAAUGGCAUAUACAAAGAGAAGCGACCUCGCGAGAGCAAGCGGACCUCAUAAAGUAUGUCGUAGUCCGGAUUGGAGUCUGCAACUCGACUCCAUGAAGUCGGAAUCGCUAGUAAUCGUAGAUCAGAAUGCUACGGUGAAUACGUUCCCGGGCCUUGUACACACCGCCCGUCACACCAUGGGAGUGGGUUGCA
RNAcentral lists this ribosomal RNA (1419 nucleotides) under uncultured bacterium. RNAcentral's name for it is "16S ribosomal RNA". It matches the Rfam family "Bacterial small subunit ribosomal RNA". The record is from RNAcentral.